Molecule: ribosomal RNA, 300 nt
Filed under: uncultured Desulfurococcus sp.
Lineage: Archaea; Thermoproteati; Thermoproteota; Thermoprotei; Desulfurococcales; Desulfurococcaceae
Description: bacterial SSU rRNA
Rfam family: Bacterial small subunit ribosomal RNA (bases 53-300)
Source: RNAcentral
GGGUGAGUGGGAGCGGGUGGGUGGGGGAAUAGGAAGAGGGUAAGCGUGUGUCGGAGUUAUUGGGGGUGAAGGGGACGGAAGGGGGGUGUGAAGUCGGUGGUGGAAUGCCUCGGGUUAACGAAGGAGGUGCAGCCGAAACUGGGGAGCUGGAGUGCGAAAGAGGAUCGCGGAGUGGCCGGUGUAGAGGUGAAAUUCGUAGAUAUCGGGAGGGACACCAGAGGCGAAGGCGGCGAUCUGGGUCGAUACUGACGCUGAGGUGCGAAAGCGUGGGGAGCAAACAGUAUUAGAUACCCUGGUAUC